This 454-nucleotide ribosomal RNA is filed under the name uncultured soil bacterium. RNAcentral's name for it is "bacterial SSU rRNA". It matches the Rfam family "Bacterial small subunit ribosomal RNA", at positions 26 to 489 of the family's 1533-position model. The record is from RNAcentral.
AGGACGAACGCUGGCGGCGUGCUUAACACAUGCAAGUCGAGCGGUAAGGCUCCUUCGGGGGUACACGAGCGGCGAACGGGUGAGUAACACGUGAGCAAUCUGCCCUUCUCUUCGGAAUAACCAUCGGAAACGAUGGCUAAUGCCGAAUACGACCUCCUUUCGCAUGAUCGGAGGUGGAAAGCUCCGGCGGAGAAGGAUGAGCUCGCGGCCUAUCAGCUAGUUGGCGGGGUAACGGCCCACCAAGGCGUCGACGGUAGCCGGCCUGAGAGGGUGACCGGCCACACUGGGACUGAGACACGGCCCAGACUCCUACGGGAGGCAGCAGGUGGGGAAUAGUUGGACAAUGGGACGAAAGCCUAGAUCCAGCAACGCCGCGUGAGGAUGACGGUCCUUCGGGUUAGUAAACCUCUUUCAGCCGAGGACGAAGCGAAAGUCGACGGUACCUGACCAAGAA